CCUAGUUCACUGUGAGACAGCUGUAGGACUUGAGAUAAAUAACUGAAACCAUGCUGAAGGUAUUUCUGCUCGGAUGUCUCCUGAGCCUCACUCUGGCUCAUCCUAGGGACAAGGGACACAAACACCCUGCCCACUCCAACUCUAACUCAGGAGAGGUGACCAACGACACUUUGCAGCAGAUCCUUGCCCUCCUACAAGCACUUGCUACAACUACUACUGCAACAACUACUACGACAGCUGCACCCACUACAACUCGUGCACCAUAAAACCUGAAAUGAAACCAAAGAUCAACGAGUGAUUUUAAGCCACCAUUACAUUUCUGACAUCAGCACAAUGUUGUGUCAGCUUCUUCUGCUUUCUUGAGAAUGCACAGCUUUAGUUUUUCUCUUUCCCAGAUUGAUUCAUGCUUCUUAAUCAGUGUUUCU
This is a long non-coding RNA of Archocentrus centrarchus (flier cichlid), 425 nucleotides long. RefSeq lists it as uncharacterized. NCBI's taxonomy places the organism in Eukaryota, Metazoa, Chordata, Actinopteri, Cichliformes, Cichlidae. The transcript is spliced from 4 exons. The record is from RefSeq and is a predicted model, not a curated record.